RNAcentral lists this transfer RNA (75 nucleotides) under Leptospira sp. GIMC2001. RNAcentral's name for it is "tRNA-Thr". It matches the Rfam family "tRNA". From Rfam's summary of the family: Transfer RNA (tRNA) molecules are approximately 80 nucleotides in length. Their secondary structure includes four short double-helical elements and three loops (D, anti-codon, and T loops). The record is from RNAcentral. Lineage: Bacteria; Pseudomonadati; Spirochaetota; Leptospiria; Leptospirales; Leptospiraceae.
GCCGCCUUAGCUCAGUGGUAGAGCAGCUGUUUUGUAAACAGCUGGUCGGAGGUUCGAAUCCCUCAGGCGGCUCCA